UGGGGAAUUUUGGACAAUGGGGGAAACCCUGAUCCAGCCAUGCCGCGUGCAGGAUGAAGGCCUUCGGGUUGUAAACUGCUUUUGUACGGAACGAAAAGGUCUCCUUUAAUAAAGGAGGCACAUGACGGUACCGUAAGAAUAAGCACCGGCUAACUACGUGCCAGCAGCCGCGGUAAUACGUAGGGUGCAAGCGUUAAUCGGAAUUACUGGGCGUAAAGCGUGCGCAGGCGGUGAUGUAAGACAGAUGUGAAAUCCCCGGGCUCAACCUGGGAACUGCAUUUGUGACUGCAUCGCUCGAGUGCGGCAGAGGGGGAUGGAAUUCCGCGUGUAGCAGUGAAAUGCGUAGAUAUGCGGAGGAACACCGAUGGCGAAGGCAAUCCCCUGGGCCUGCACUGACGCUCAUGCACGAAAGCGUGGGGAGCAAACA
This 427-nucleotide ribosomal RNA is filed under the name uncultured Burkholderiales bacterium. Its description in RNAcentral is "bacterial SSU rRNA". It matches the Rfam family "Bacterial small subunit ribosomal RNA", at positions 355 to 774 of the family's 1533-position model. The record is from RNAcentral. Lineage: Bacteria; Pseudomonadati; Pseudomonadota; Betaproteobacteria; Burkholderiales.